This is a long non-coding RNA of Gopherus evgoodei (Goodes thornscrub tortoise), 1445 nucleotides long. RefSeq lists it as uncharacterized. The transcript has 3 exons. The record is from RefSeq and is a predicted model, not a curated record. Lineage: Eukaryota; Metazoa; Chordata; Testudines; Testudinidae.
CUCGGGAUCCAUGGAGUAGCGGGAGCUGAUGAAAAUCAUGCGUAGCAGUGGCUGUUGGUAUUAACUCUGUCUCUGUUGAUGGAGUGGGGCUGAGGUAGAUUGGGUUGGAGAGGGAUGCCAGGUUGAGGGCAAGAUUCGAAGCACCAGUAUUGCUUUGUGUAGUGAUGGCUCAUGCUUGGCUUUUGCAGCUGCUCUUCCAAAGCAAUUUUCCAGGAGUCCUAGACUGAGGAGAAAGUGGCAGAAGUGGACAUGAACAAUCCUCAGCUUUCUGACUCCCGCACAACUGGCUGCUCAUAUACACCCCUUGAACCAAAGGGACUUGCUCUUCACUGACUGACUAUGCCUGGCAGUGCAGGAAAUGGUCAACUGAAGGUAAUGUAUCUUUGGAAGAACUCAGGGUAAGUUUUUAAAGUGAAGAGGUCUGGUUAUGCUCGUGCUGGUUAAUCUUAAGUCUGUAUUAAUACUGUAGUUUAGUUAUAUUAGUAAAUUGUUGAAGUUGUUUAAAGAUUGUAAUAGUCAAUAGUUGAUCAAUAUAUAAUAACUGUAUAUGUUUUUGUGCCUUGCUGGGAAUGGGUACAGUGCUGGUGAACCUAGUAGCUUUGCAUGUCGCUGUGCCUGUCUUUUAUAUAAGUUACCAUCAUAAAAGUCAAUAAAUGCUUAUGAGUUGUUAUACAAAGUUAUAGGUAGGUUAAGGUUAGUAAAAUAUAGUUAGUCCAUGUAUUAAUAUUGCAUAUAGAAUUGUAUUUGUUGGGGUGGGUGCAGUACAUGUAAGGUUACUAGGCAAUCAGUAAUAGUAGCAUUGCAUGCGCUUGUAACUAUUUUCAAUAUUAUUUACCUUUUAUAUGUGCACUUAUAGGAAUAGGCAGUUAUUGCAUAAUAUUACUUGUACUUGUGCUUGUCUCCAGUAUAAUUUGCCAUUUGUAUUAAUCCUCACUCAGUGCUGGUCUUUAAUUCUGUUUUUCUUAUUCUAUCUGUGUUGCCUUUAUAGUCAUAAGUCAUUAAAAACCUUUCUGGAGGAAUAAUUAAUUGCUUAGUUUCUGUUUUGCAGACACUAUUCAGCCUCUUUACAUCUGUGUUGGGUGGUGGGAAGUAGCAAUCACCCAGAGCCCCACUAGGACCCUGACGUGAGCCCCCCUAGGGCUCUGACAUCUGCCUCCUCCUUCCAUUAAUCUCCACAAUAACUUUGUUUUUCCUUCUUGUGCUGGGUUUAGUACCCAGGGAAAAGAAAUCAAACGUCAGUCUACUGCCCUCGUGCGAUGUAAAGCGAGUGAGAGCAGUGAGCCCACGAGCAUGGUUGAUGCACGUGAGGAGCCAUCCAGUUGGCAGUGGAGCAGUUGCUGUGUCUGUGAGAUGAGUGUCUGGUUUGCCGGCACCAAGCAGAACCUGGCCACAGAGCACCACUACAGCGAUGGCUACAGCAGGUGUCCUAUAUGCCAGAGCUGCUC